AUGAAUAUGUCACAAGUGGUAAUGGUAGUGGUGGUAAUGGUGGUAUUAGUAGUGGUGGUAAUGGUGGUAUUNNNNNNNNNNGGUGGUAUUAGUAGUGGUGGUAAUGGUGGUAUUAGUAGUGGUGGUAACAAUAGUUUGACAUUUUCAAAUAAGAAAAUAUUAUUACAAGAGCUAGAACAAAUAAAAAAAAACUAUGAUGAUGAAGAGUUAUACAAAUAUAUUAAAGAAACAAAUGUAUUGGAAAAAUAUAAAACAUUUUAUCAUUGUCACUUUGUGAAUAUUAAUAACAUUUUUAAUACAGUAAUCAGUACGAUUAUAUAUAAUGUAGAAGAUAAAUACAAAACUUUAUAUGAACGGUAUUUUAAUUUGUUUAAUUUAAAUUUUAGUAAUGUUGAAGCUUCUUUUGAUUUGUUAUUGAAAAGGUUUCAUCAAUUGUGUCGUUUAUUGCAAGCAUAUGAACACAUGAUAAAAGGAUAUGAACAGAAUAUAUCCAAUUUGAAUAAUAACGAUGAUGAAUUAUAUAAACAAAACAAAAAACUUAAAUAUGAUUUUGAAUUAAUUCGUAAAGAAAAAGAUCAUUUAAAAGAGGUAUUAUUAAUGUUUGAAACAAAUGUAAAAAAAAUUAAUGGAAAUUAUGCACAAGCAGAAAAAGAACUAAACGAAUUAAAAAACAAAUUUGUACAUAUAAAUGACAAAUAUGAGCAUUUAAAAAAUGAAAAAAAUAUUUUAGAACAAGAUAUAAUUAAAAAAGAAAAAAAUAAUGAACAAUUGAAUGAAAAAAAUAAUGAUAUGUUAAUGAGUUACCAAAAAGAUAUUACAUAUUUACAAACAUUAUUACAAGAAACAAAAGAUAGUAAUAUAUAUUUUAAACAAAAAGUAGAACACAUUUUAAAUCUUAAUGAAAAAUUAAAAUAUGAUUAUGACUUACGAGUGAAUAGUCUUAAUAAUUUAUGGAUGGAAGAAAAAGAAAAUAAUAAAAAAACGAGUUUAGAUAUAAAAAAUAUGAAAGAAGAAAAAACAUUACUUAUUAAUAAAAUUAAUGAUUUAGAAAAUAAAAAUAAAUUAAUUCGAGCUGAAUUAAACGAAAGAAUGAAACAGUUGAAUAUGUUUAAAAGACAAAUGGCAUUGAAUUCUACUAAUGCUUAUAUUCCAGGUAACGUUUUUUUUGGUGCUAAUGUUGUUCAUGACCAUACCAACAUUAACAAUGAUAUAAGAAGUAGUCCCAGCACUAAUCCUACUGACAUAAAUACCGAUAUUAGGAGCAACGCCGGUAGCAAUUCUGACAUGAAUACCGACAUAAAACAUAACAAUAGUAAUAAACAAACGUCUUUCCUACAAAAACAGUUAUUACUAUUGAAUAAUAACAUAGGAGUUGGUAACAUAAAGGAAGGUACACAAGUGAUAAAUACCUCAACACAUCAUAACAAUAAAAAUGAACCAGGAAAUAUAGUCAAUUAUAAUCCUAUCGAACUUCCCAAACUGACUCAGCAAUAUUUGUUACCAUACGACAACAAAAUGAAUUAUUUUUUAAAUUACGAUGAAGAACAUAAUAAUCGAACAGAAUACGAAUUACGUAUACGAACAUUACAAGAUACUUUAUCAGAUUGUAGAAUUGAUAUUUUAAAGUUGAAAGGAGAAAAAGACAUUUUAAUAACUUCUGUUGAAACAUGGAAAAGUUUUAGUAAAGAUAGUAAACUUCAAAUUAAUAAAUUAAAAAAAUUAUGUAAUGAACAACUAGAAAAACAUAAAGAAUUUUUAUUAAUUAAUAAAUCAAAUGAGGAAAAAUUAAAUUAUAUAACAAAUCUAUUAAGUUCUGAAAAGAAUAAAUAUGAAAGAAUUGUAAGUGAGAUUAAAGAAAAGUUAAAUGCUGAAUUAGAACAUGUAAAAGAAGAAUUAAAAGAAAAAACACAUGAAUUAAAAUCAUUAACAUAUGAAAAAACUAAUUUAGCAAAUCAAGUUAUAAAUUUUGAAAAUAGAAAAAAAGGUGAAUUAGUUAUAAAACAAAAAGAAGAACAACUUUUAACACUAAUUAAAAAUGAUAAACAAAAUUUACAAGAACAGUUAAUUCAAUUAUCUGAAAAAUAUAAUAAAGAAGUAGAAAAAAAUAAAAAAUUAGAAAAUGAUAUAGAGUUAUUAAUAAAUAAUCAUAAAAAAGAGAUAAUAACAUUAAAUGAACAUAUUGAUACUAUUAAAAAAGAUAAUAAUAAUAUGAACGAAUUAUUACAAAAACAUAUUAACAUUAAUGAUAAUAAUUUAUUAAAAGAAAGAUUAGAACAGUUGAAUAAGGUGAAACGGAAAAUGGAAGAUGAAAUACAAUCUAAUAAGGAAAUGCUUGAACAAUUACGUGUUGAAAAUAGUGAACUAAAAAAGAGACUAAUUUUGGAAAAUGAAAAAAAAAUAAUGGAUCAUAUACAACAACAGGAUAGUAGUAUGUCGUCUUCUGAUGGUCCUAUUACAGAUUGUCUAACAUCAAGUACAUAUAUGAGUGAACAAUUUGUUGAUAAUUUACAAACCCAACUUAAAUCAUCUCGUCAACAAUUGAAUAAUUUAUCAGAUGAAUUAGAUCGAGCAAAAUUAGAUGAAGAAAAAUAUAAAUCAAAAAUUGAAAGUUUAAAAGAAAAAUUAGUUAAAGAAGAAACUGAAAAAAAGAAAAUAGAAGAAAAUAUAUUUCACAAUAAUACAAAUAAUAUAAUACAAAUGAAUAAAAUAAAAGUAGAAUUAGAGAUGUUAUUAGAUGAAAAAAGAACAUUUUUACUUAUAAAAGAUAAAUAUGAAAAAGAAAUAGAACAAUUAAAAAAAAAUGUUGAUACUUAUAUGAAUGAAAAAAAAAAUGAUAUAGAUAUGAUUGAAAAGGAUAAAUUAAAAGAACAGAUAGAUGCUCAUUUAAAUAGAAUUAAGGAAGAAGAAAAAGAAAAAAUUACAUUAAAUUUUAAAAUUAAAAAAUUAGAAAAUGAGAAUGCAGAGUUAAAAAAUAGGAUUAGUAUGUACAUAGAAACGGACGUUGUAUAUGCAAAUAGGGAUGUAAUUGAGGGUAAUAAUAUGUACGAUAAUGAGGGCAAUAAUAAUGGCAAUACUGAGUUUAAUAAUAAUGGCAAUACUGAGGAUAAUAAUAAGGACAAUAAUGACAACGUUUUAAAUGGUACUGAUAAUGUAGAAGAGAGAGAGAGUAUAAUAAACUCUGUUCCAUCUGAUAGAAAUAAUAAAACUGAAAUUUCAUCUAACGAAAUAUAUAAAUAUAUAAAUGAAAAUAUAGAUUUAACUGCUGAGUUGGAAAAUAAAAAUGAUUAUAUUGAUAAAUGUAAAGAAGAAAUAAAACAAAAAAGUGAUCAUAUCACUGAAUUAUGUAAUAGUAUAUCUACCUUAACAAGUGAAAAUAAAACAUUAAAACAAUCUUUAAAUGUAUUGGAAACAUAUAAAUUAAAAAUGCAUGAACAUAUAAAAGAAAAAGAUGAAAUAAUACAGUAUUUAAAAAAUAUAUUUUUUGAAAAAAUAGAUGGUAUUUUAAAUUAUUAUUCAACAAAUACACGAAUAAGUGCUAUGGAUGAAACAGUAUGCUCAGAUCUUCAAAAUGUCAUGAAGGUACCUUCUGAUGAAAUUAUAUCUUUGUUGCGAACUAUGACACGUGCAAGUGUAUUGGGAGAUGAUAAUGUCCUUACUGCUACAGGUGGUAUUACAUCAUGCAAUGAUGAUAAUACAGGUUCCUGUACAAAUGAGGUAACUAAUAAUUUUUUAAAUAAUAACAAAGAACAUAUUUCUAUAAUAAAAUGUAAUUUAUUAAAAUUGUUUAAAUUGGGAUCAUGUUAUUUAUACAUUAUAAACAGAAAUAUGAAAGAAAUAAAAACUUUGAAAAAUAAAAUAACUUGUCUUGAAAGCAGUAUUGAAAGUUUAACAGAACAUAUUGAAAAUUUGAAAAAAGAAAAUGCACAAAAUGAAUUAAUAUAUAAUGAAAGUAUUGAACAAAUUCAACAAUUAAAAGAAAAUUUAAAAACUAAUGAACAAUAUAUUGAAGAAUUAAAUACAAAUAUAUCACAAAAUAAAGAAAUAAAUAAAAUAAAUUUGAAUAAUAUAAAAACGUAUAAAGAUUUUAUUGUUUAUUUAAUUUUAAAAAAUAAAAUAUUUCUUAUAAUUAUGUAUAUGUUUAAUAGGAAACAAAAAAUGGAACAAACAGUAGUUACUUCUUUAUACCAAAUCCAACAAACACAUGAUGUUUAUUUAUAUCAUGCGAUUGUUGCAGAAUUAAAAAAUGAAUAUCCACAUAUUCAUUUAGAUUAUGACAUGUCAGAAAAUAAUUAUAAAAAUAUUCAAAUGUUUAGUCGAAAAUUGGAUUGGUUGAAUGAGAGGGGGGGAGAAGAGUUAAAUAUGACGGUAGGUCCUGAGUUGGGACAACAGCAGGAACAAAACUUGGAACAAUCCCAUCAAGUAACAAAUGUACACAGUAUGGAUGUACACAGUAUGGAUAUACACAGUAUGGAU
RNAcentral lists this long non-coding RNA (4473 nucleotides) under Piliocolobus tephrosceles (Ugandan red Colobus). Its description in RNAcentral is "lncRNA (ENSPTEG00000009189.1)". Lineage: Eukaryota; Metazoa; Chordata; Mammalia; Primates; Cercopithecidae. The record is from RNAcentral.